Equus caballus (horse) is the source of this 2423-nucleotide long non-coding RNA. RefSeq lists it as uncharacterized. The record is from RefSeq and is a predicted model, not a curated record. Lineage: Eukaryota; Metazoa; Chordata; Mammalia; Perissodactyla; Equidae.
CUCACAAUUUCACUUCUGGGUACACACCUGAAAUAACUGAAAGCAGGAUCUCAAAGAGAUAUUUGCACACCCACGUUCACAGACAGAUUAUUCACAACGGCCAAAGGGUAGAAGCCACUCAAGUGUCUGUCCACAGAGGCAUAAACAAAAUGUGGUAUACGCAUACAAUGGAAUAUUAUUCAGCCUUUAAAAAUGAAGGAAAUUCUGACACAUGCAAAACAUGGAGGAACCUUGACAACAUUAUGCUGAGUGAAGUCAGCCAGUCACAAAGGACACAUACUGUUUGAUUCCAUGUAUAUGAGGCACCUCGAGUAGUCAAAUGCAUAGAACAGAAAGUAGAUGGCGGCUGCCAGGGGCUGGGGGAGGGGAGAAUGGGGAGUUGGUGUUUAAUGGGAACAGAGUUUCAGUUUGGGAGGAUGAAAAAAAGUUCAGCAUCUUGAUGGGGGUGACAGUACACAACAAGGUAAAUGUCCUUAAUGCCACUGAACUGAAUACUUGAAGACAGUUAAAAUGAUAAAUUUUAUGUUAUACAUAUUUACAGUAAAAACACCAACAACAAAAGUUGAGUGAGUACUACUCUGUGCUGGGCACUCGGGGCACAGCAACAGCCAGAAGCCCCCCCGCGCCGAGGGUCGAACACUCAGGGCUGACGGGGGCCACAAAGAAAGGCAGGGGGAGGGGAGAGGCAGCUGCUCUGUGGCGGGAGGUCAGGGAAGCCUCUGCCGAGGUGACACUGAAGCAGAGGAAGUGACAGGCAGGAGGGGAUCAGAGGGUGACCUCCUGGGGACUUGCUGAAUGACAGGAUGUGGGGGUGAGUGCCAGGGCGGGGUCAGGAUGACUUGGGUGAGCAGUUAUGACAUCACCAAGACAAAGCCUGACAAAUUCUGUGUCAACUGGUCAUCCCUCUUCCCCUUCACAACAAGCCCGUGAGGCAGGAAAGACGAGAAAUGGAGCCCAUACAACUGGGUGCAGGACCUGCAGGUGGGAGGAGAGCCCAAGCAGUCUGACGCCGGAGCCGAGCUCUCUCCUCAGGGCUGUCUCCAGAGUUGGAACGCUUCUCCAGGCUGCCUCCCACUGCAGGGCCAAGUGCACCCCCGAACACAGGGCCCAGGGCCCCUCUCCCAGCCCCACUUCAUCUGCAUCACCUGCAGGCAUGGCCCUGCCAGCCCCUGACCUGGGUCAGUGUCCCCGCUCAGAGACCCACCCAUCCUGCAGAUGGGGCCUUGGAAGCCCAGGAGAUGGGAGCUGGCAGAUAAGGAGGUGGCUUCCCCGUGGGACUUCUCCUCUCUCCCUGCCAGGAGCCGCAGCCUCACAGUUCUAGGGUGAAGGAGGACAGCCCAGUCAGCACUUUCCACUGACUCUUUCAAAACCACUGACAAGCUCUGAGACAGACUGGUGAGACGAGUGCGGCCCGGGCGCAGUUCCCCCUUGCCGGCCCCGCGUGACUCUGCACAAAGCCCAUCUGUGCUUCGGCUCCAGCCCCCAGGAGGGGGACUCUGAGAGGAUGCAGGCCCAUCCUUUCUCCAAGCCACAGGGUCCCCACUCUGCUGAGCCCAGGCCCUGUGCUCCCUGCCCACAGAGAUGCCGCCACCCCAACAGCAGAGCUGAGCUGUCCAAGGCUCACUGGGCCCAGGCUGUGUUUGUGGGGAGGGGCUCCCCCUCCAUUGUAAACUCUUUUCCAGCAAAGCUGCCUCUCCUACGGCCCCUGCUCAGCAUAGUUCAUCACAGAGUCUCACUGGCCCAAGAUUUUCUCCUCCUGGUAACUUCAGAGAGGUUCAGCUGUGCUCCUCUAACAAGUCCUAACACACACUCGCCCAUAAAGGACUCUCCAUAAAGUUCAACCCUGAAGAAGGAACCCCACCACCUCCCGCCCCAGCAAGAGCUGGAACCAGGUCUGAAAAGCCAAUGGUGUUCAUUUCAAAAUGGGCACGUGGGCCCUGGGCCCAUGAUUUGACCCAUAAAACACCUACGGAGUUAAGACGCUGAGCUUGGACAACAAACAUAUCCUUCAAGUCCUUUGGUUGAGUUCAAAGAGAGACAAUAACAUGCCAACUUUCGAAAUCAAGAAAUGUCUGGUCUUAGAAUUCCAUCAUCAUCAUCAUCAUCACUAGUUUUCACUGAGCAUGUCUGACAUGCAUGCUAAGCAUUCCAGGUGGAAUAAAGCAGUUAAUCCUCACGUCAAUAUCCCCAUUCCACAGAGGAGGAAACCGAGGGUCAGAGAGGUUCCACAACCUGCCAUGUGACAUAAGACGCUCCAAAAUUCAUUUAGUAAGAUACUAAGGCUCAAGCUUUACUCAUCUUUAAAACCAAGGAAUGAGUCAAGCUCAUCAUCUUUUCUUGAGUUACUUUUUCAGAUUAACUCAAAAGUUUUGCAUUAAUUGUGUAUGACUUUUUAAUUUUCCAAAAUAAAGGAGAGUAAAAGA